RNAcentral lists this ribosomal RNA (120 nucleotides) under Sinocyclocheilus anshuiensis. The record is from RNAcentral. Lineage: Eukaryota; Metazoa; Chordata; Actinopteri; Cypriniformes; Cyprinidae.
GCCGGCAGCCAUAUCACCCUGUAUAGCCCAAGACUGGUUACCCACUGAAGCUAAGCAGGGUUGAGCCUGGUCAGUACCUGGAUGGGAGACCUCCUGGGAAAACUAGGUUGCUGAUCAUCA